Long non-coding RNA from Macrobrachium nipponense, 611 nucleotides. RefSeq lists it as uncharacterized. Lineage: Eukaryota; Metazoa; Arthropoda; Malacostraca; Decapoda; Palaemonidae. The transcript has 4 exons. The record is from RefSeq and is a predicted model, not a curated record.
GAGUCUUUGACUGCGACUUUGAUGACCACCCGCGUGCUUUGAUGAAGGAACUUAUUAAUUUUGGGUAAUUCUUUGCUACGUGGAUAGGAGGGAGUUUUGAGUUUUUAUUGGUGGUUUUGAAGUAUGGUCUACUUGAAGCAGUGGCGUUUCUUCAAAUUUCUGCGAAGAAUCUUUAGCUGAUUGCCUACGAAGGAUGUUCAAAUCCACCAUAUUGUCUGGAAAGAUUUCCGUGGAACACUUAUUUGGAAGCAAACUACGAAUUACCAUUGAGAGAAAUAUCUGAAGUCUUAUUUAUUGAAGGAUUUUUCCAGCUACGAAAAUAGGAUUAGUUUCUUACCAGAUUGUUGACUGGGAAAGUAAGAAUGCAAAGAAGACUGUUACUCAAGACCUAAUAUUCCAGUUUUUGAGGUGAAAAUGGAGCCUGGCGUUACUGAUCUACUUCCCUAAGCCAUAAACUGCCCUGCUUUAUUGCUAAGGUGCAAUUAGUUAUGACACUUCAAUAUUUAGUAUUAAUUGCAAAAUUUCAAUGUUCUUACCUUCAGCAAUAAUAGCAAUACACAGCAAUAGCAAUAACUUUAUCAUUGCUUGUUUUAGUAGAUGCCGAAUUAAAU